RNAcentral lists this unclassified non-coding RNA (505 nucleotides) under Aspergillus fumisynnematus. RNAcentral describes it as "partial contains ITS1, 5.8S rRNA and ITS2". The stretch from base 186 to 339 matches the Rfam family "5.8S ribosomal RNA". The record is from RNAcentral. RNAcentral also lists the same sequence under 1 other name. Lineage: Eukaryota; Fungi; Ascomycota; Eurotiomycetes; Eurotiales; Aspergillaceae.
CCGAGUGAGGGCCCUCUGGGUCCAACCUCCCACCCGUGUCUAUCGUACCUUGUUGCUUCGGCGGGCCCGCCGUUUCGACGGCCGCCGGGGAGGCCUCGCGCCCCCGGGCCCGCGCCCGCCGAAGACCCCAACAUGAACGCUGUUCUGAAAGUAUGCAGUCUGAGUUGAUUAUCAUAAUCAGUUAAAACUUUCAACAACGGAUCUCUUGGUUCCGGCAUCGAUGAAGAACGCAGCGAAAUGCGAUAAGUAAUGUGAAUUGCAGAAUUCAGUGAAUCAUCGAGUCUUUGAACGCACAUUGCGCCCCCUGGUAUUCCGGGGGGCAUGCCUGUCCGAGCGUCAUUGCUGCCCUCAAGCACGGCUUGUGUGUUGGGCCCCGUCCCCUCCCCCGGGGACGGGCCCGAAAGGCAGCGGCGGCACCGCGUCCGGUCCUCGAGCGUAUGGGGCUUUGUCACCCGCUCUGUAGGCCCGGCCGGCGCCAGCCGACACCCAACUUUAUUUUCUAAGG